Meleagris gallopavo (turkey) is the source of this 1486-nucleotide non-coding RNA. Lineage: Eukaryota; Metazoa; Chordata; Aves; Galliformes; Phasianidae. The record is from RefSeq and is a predicted model, not a curated record.
CUCCCACUAAUUAGUGCCAGGGUGAAGAACUAAGAAGAAAUUCUACUGCAGAAUCUGGUAGCCCCUGGCUUGGACAGGUACAUUUUUGGCUGGGUAAGGAACUGGCUGGAAGGCCAGGCCCAGAGUGGUGGCAGAUGAGAGCCAAUGGCAGAGUUCUGUUUGAGAAUUUUCAAGAGGAUGUCCACCUGACACUGGUCUUUCAGAGGCCGAGGUAUCUACCGGUGAAAGAAUAACUGUGCUUCUUUGAGGAAUAGAGUCUGAGGUUACAACUGCUGCUGGAAUCGUGGACCACAGGCAGAAUACACUGUGAGCUUUCUGUCCAGCAGCAUUUAGUAUCUGGAGGAAGCAGGCACUGCUGUUAUUUGCUGUUGCUGGCUGUCAUGCUGCAUGUAAGUCUGGCACCUCAGAGCAAUUGCUUUGGAUUAGAGAUGGAAUUCGGCAUACAAAGGAAAAAUGGUACUCCUAUAUAAAUAACUGAGAGUCUCACAAUGGCCCUUUGAACCAGCUCGUUUGUUCUAGUCACUGCCUGUGAGUAGCAUGAGUUUAUCUAGUACAUGCAGCCAUUGAAAGUAAAGUUAAAAAAAAAAUAACAAAAAAAAGAAAACCUGUUACAUUCAAGGUUGUACAGAUCUAUUCUAUGGGCUAGUUGCCUGUGUCCUAAUUAUAUAAGAACAUUUGUUUAUCCAUGUAGUUAUCUGUUCAUCUUUGUGCUUGCUCCAGUAGCCAGAAAUCGCAGUCCCUCUCUUUGUAAGGGUAACCAUGUGAUUGCACAGCUCUUCCGUACUUCUACAGCAUGAUUUAUUUUUAUUUUGCUUCUUUAAGUGGCCUACUGCACACUGAGUAGCUUAAGCUUCCAUUAUCUUUGAACAGCAGCAGUUAUUUAUAUAAAUGAAAUCAUUGUAUUUGCAUUAUUGGCAGUGUAGAGGAUAGGAAAUCAAAUGGCUUAGUUUGCUGGAGUAUUCUGGUAUUCACUUCCAGCAUCAUGGGGCCUGCAUCAAUCAUUAGCUUUUAGAAGCUAGUACUAUCAAUAUUUAUUCUGGAUCUUAAAUAUCUCAGUUUUCCUCAAGAAAUACAAGAUGAAGGCAACAGGAGGAUUUGAAUGUUCUGAUGUAUUUUUUGUUUGUUUGUUUUAAAGAAGAAGCAAGCUGACAGCUGAAUUGUUAGUUCAUAACUUGUAGUUAAUUAGUAGAAUUCCCUCAGCUGUUUGCAUAAGCUGAUGGUGAAAGAGUCACAAUGUAUUGUUAAAGGGCAAGUAGAAUAAUUUGUUCCUAUAGAAGAGACAAAAAUUAUAUGUUUAUUGUGCAUCCAAUUUUUCUUUUUAGAUGAAUAGGAGAGGUCACCAAAAUAAUUACUUCCCCUCUAUGUAUAUAAAAAUAUUUUUACAUUAGAUAAAAAGCCUUUCUCCACUAAAUAAAUGAUAUAUGGAGACUAGACAUGUCACUAAAUGGGUAUUUUACAUAAUCUCAGAGAGGAGGGGAAAAAAAAA